This 1165-nucleotide long non-coding RNA is filed under the name Sus scrofa (pig). RNAcentral's name for it is "lncRNA (ENSSSCG00055002713.1)". The record is from RNAcentral. Lineage: Eukaryota; Metazoa; Chordata; Mammalia; Artiodactyla; Suidae.
UGGCAAGUAAAUACAUUGGAAAGGUUCUGGGUGACUGUGAGAAAUACAGAAAAUGAUAGUCACUUCUGCUCAUAUAAGGAGAAAGAUGCUGAUUAGAAUUUAGACCUGACAGAUCUGAAGCACCCAAAGGUAACACAAACCCAUCUCAUAAGUGGUUCAAAUGUCAAUUUGAAAUUUUGGAGAGAAAGUGGAGAUAGGGAUGCCGCUUUAGGAAAAUAAUCCAGCACUAAUAAGAGGACACCACCGAAUAAAAAGUCACAUGCAAAAAGGAGAUCAUCAAUAUAGCCAAGAUCAAGAAAAAUAUGCAGAAGAAAAAAAGAAGAAAAAGACAGGAUUAAAAAGACCAUAUUGAGUUGCAGGAGAAACAGAGACAGGAGUCAGGGAGGUGGUAAAAUAUAGUGAAGUCGGGGAGAGGAAAGGGUCACAAUAAAAACCGAGAAGCAAAUAAAAAGCAGUAGGAAACUGGGACAAACACGCUCGUUGUUCUUUAGAUCUUUGAAGACAUGGGAUUUUAUAGGCACAGCAGAAAGCCAAUUCUGCUCUUCAUUUCUGUGAACAAAGAUUUUCACAAAUCAAGCAGUCACUCCUGUGAGAGUGCAAAGGGCAGGACCUGACUCUCUACUGCGGCAAAGGAAGUGAUGCUCAAGAAGCCAGAUUCAGACUGUGAUUCCAUCAUUUCUUCAGUAAAUAUCAUGGGUUUGAUGCAAGUCUGCAUUAGGCAUCAGCACUACUUGCCAGUUUAAGGAGCCAUCUUAAUCCUAACAAGCUGAGAAUACAAAAUGAACCAAAGAGAAAAUGUCAGAACACUGAGAGCAAUCAGUGUAAAUUAACUCCGUGCAAACUGUGUGCAUUGGUGCUGAGAGAACAGACAAAGCAGUGGAUUCCCCUUUGGAAGGCUCUUUUCUCUAAAGCUUUCAAAUUCCACAAUGAAGUUUCAGAGGAAACACAGAAUAUCCUAAUUCGGGGUGUACCAUACCAGGUGUAUAAAGAUGUAAAUAAAUGCAAUACUUGACAUGAAAGAAUGAGUCUGGUAUUGCUAUUGAUGCUGGAGGGCACCGUGACCUCUGCACUCAAAAUCUGGAGGUGGGGACGGGUGGAAAUGAGCAGUGCCUAGAAGUGCAGUUCUAGAAAUAAAUCAGUAACUAACAGGGAGGAUUGCUUCUUG